This 216-nucleotide long non-coding RNA is filed under the name Ricinus communis (castor bean). Its description in RNAcentral is "long non-coding RNA (RCOM_LNC001126)". The record is from RNAcentral. Lineage: Eukaryota; Viridiplantae; Streptophyta; Magnoliopsida; Malpighiales; Euphorbiaceae.
GGAAGUCCCAACGUCUCCAUCACCCCCAACUCUGUCAAAUGUGGUAUCGCUUCCUCCAAAACUCCUAGCCAGUCGAGUAAUGUAAGUCCCAAAACAGAAAAAUACCUUCUUUGAGUUAUUGCAGAAGGCACUGAUCUGUCUGGCCAAUAAGUAUCCCAUGUCGACAGACUAGUGCUGGUGCAUGCUGUAAAGUAUAAACAGGUCUGGCUGGGUAAC